RNAcentral lists this ribosomal RNA (510 nucleotides) under uncultured bacterium. RNAcentral describes it as "partial 16S ribosomal RNA". It matches the Rfam family "Bacterial small subunit ribosomal RNA", at positions 28 to 507 of the family's 1533-position model. The record is from RNAcentral.
GACGAACGCUGGCGGCGUGCUUAACACAUGCAAGUCGAACGAAGAGCGAUGGAAGCUUGCUUCUAUCAAUCUUAGUGGCGAACGGGUGAGUAACGCGUAAUCAACCUGCCCUUCAGAGGGGGACAACAGUUGGAAACGACUGCUAAUACCGCAUACGAUCUAAUCUCGGCAUCGAGGAUAGAUGAAAGGUGGCCUCUACAUGUAAGCUAUCACUGAAGGAGGGGAUUGCGUCUGAUUAGCUAGUUGGGGGGGUAAGGGCCCACCAAGGCGAUGAUCAGUAGCCUGGCUGAGAGGAUGAACGGCCACAUUGGGACUGAGACACGGCCCAGACUCCUACGGGAGGCAGCAGUGGGGAAUCUUCCGCAAUGGACGAAAGUCUGACGGAGCAACGCCGCGUGAGGGAUGACGGCCUUCGGGUUGUAAAGCUCUGUUAAUCGGGACGAAAGGCCUUCUUGCGAAUAGUGAGAAGGAUUGACGGUACCGGAAUAGAAAGCCACGGCUAACUACGUG